UUCUUUAGGCCCAUUUCUUUCUCCUUUUCUUUUGGCCCAUUUAAUGUUGAAACUGUGUCGUUUCUUUCCCUCGGUCCAAUCUGCCUCUUAUGUUCUUUUCUUUUCCUUUUAUUUUUGAAGCAGCUUGACCGUGUCCUGCUUGCUUCUUUUUUUCUUUUCUUUUUUAUUCUGCUUUUCGUAAAACGACGCCGUUUCACACCUUCAGCCUCACUUUGUCCUCCUCCUUCACCUGCUGCUGUCGCCAACUGCCGCCCGCCACCGUCGAUUUGGUCGGCGACCAACGCCACUCUGGCCGAUGUUGGGCCCCGCACGGUGGUCGGCGGCCUACAAUUUCUGACUACAGCCCCAGCAGCUUCACGCCCCCCCACUAUACCAACUUUACUUCCACCUCAAUUCUCCACCAAUUGCACUUCACCCAUUUUCGUCCACAUCCAAAACCUCAAUUUUCUCCCAUUUUCAUCCGCAUCCAAAAUUGUGAUUCGUUAUUUCUUGUGCAUCCGCCCCUUUGUCCGAUACUCUCUUUUGUGAAGGUAAUAUGCUCCUUUUGUUCUUUUCAUUUUCCCGUUUGAAUUUUUUCCCUGAUUGUGUUUCAAUUAGCAACUGAAUUAAUCCCUCAGCUCAAAUCUCGAUUCCGCCUUGUCGAAUAUCUCACUGCUCUCCAAAUUCCACUCAAAACCCUACUCAAAUCUCUUCUCUUCUUUCAGAUUAUCGAGUCUCAACAGCCGGAGAAGAAACAAGAAUCAUCUUUCUCCGAACCUCGUUUUCUGUAAUAAGAACAUCUGCCCACAAGCCGAUAUUCAAUAUUUACAGCUGAAAACAAAGAUUUGAUUAAAAGGGUCGGCCGAGGAUUGCUCGGUUUCGCCGCCGCCGUGUCGUUGCUCUGUGAUUCGCCGGCGUUUGCUGAAUCACUGACUGUAGCUUUUCCUGUUUCUCACAAGUCACAACCGUGAGGUGAAUACUGUACAAAGAACACUUGUGAAGGCAUGGGGUUUGAUUAGAGAAACCUUUGUGGAUCCAACUUUCAAUCAUCAGGAUUAGGACUUAAAAUUACAACAAACGAUGGUCGAAAUGUUUCCACUUACAUCAGAAGAUGCUGCGUAUAAUAAAAUUAAAGGGACGCUUUCGACUGUUACAGAUCCUUUUACGCGCAUAAUCAGUCGUAAGGUAUUUUUUUUCUUGUCUUAAUUAAUUAAUUAAUUCAAAUUUUACUUAUGAUCCAUUUUUCGUACAUUAAUGGGCUGUGUGUGU
Molecule: non-coding RNA, 1248 nt
Organism: Erythranthe guttata (spotted monkey flower)
Lineage: Eukaryota; Viridiplantae; Streptophyta; Magnoliopsida; Lamiales; Phrymaceae
Source: RefSeq, a predicted model, not a curated record